This is a long non-coding RNA of Puntigrus tetrazona (Sumatra barb), 1245 nucleotides long. RefSeq lists it as uncharacterized. The transcript has 2 exons. The record is from RefSeq and is a predicted model, not a curated record. Lineage: Eukaryota; Metazoa; Chordata; Actinopteri; Cypriniformes; Cyprinidae.
GUGGAUAGAGGUGUGGUCUUAAAACUAACUUUUCAAAGUGAUUUAUUCAAAUUUUGAGAUGUCGUCAUGACAGUGCUUCAAAACGGAUUUAGAACGUCAACGCAUCUGACGCUUUAGGACAGACCAAUCACAGCGGCGCUGUGAUGCGGAGCCAAAACCGACCAAUCACAGAGCUGCUCUGAUGUGGAACCAGACCGGUCCAAUCAUAGGCGAAGCGCGCAUCCAGGGGCCCAUGGAGAGAGGGGACAAUUACAGGAAAAGUGUCAGAAGUUCCACCAAACGUGCUCACGUAAGAUUUUCUUAGUGGAAAGCAGCGGUUAAUAGUUAAUCGAGAGAGAGAAAAAGAGAUUGUCUAGUUUUUGUAAACUGCAUGAUUUCAGUAAGCAUAAAAAAGUCAUAAACCUAAAAAAAUAUAUAUAAAACUGAUCUCUGGUCCUUUUGGUCAUAGUUCAGUGUGCUUAUUCUUUAUGAGGCAGCGUGAUACAAAGUCCCAUUAAUUUUCAUCAUCUGCACACCUUACAGUCACAUUUGCAAGUGUUAUCCAUUAUUAAAAACUGACAAACAAUCUACAGCAGUCAAUACACACAGCUGACUAACUGCAUUAUAUAUAUAUAUAUAUUUUUUUUUUUUUUUUUUUGCUGACAUGUCUUUGACACGCCAUUUAAUUUUUCUUGGACAAACCUGAAAAAAUGACUAGAUUUAAUUUCACCUGUAGUUUGACUGAAAAUAUUUAUUUUAGUUUUUAUGGCUUAAGCAUGGUCAAAAUUACAUUUCCAGCCAAUGUAAAGAAUAAAAGCGUUAUCUACUUAAUGAAAACGAGGUCAAAUUAAUAAGUGUAAUAACAGAUUGUUAAUCUAAUAUUUUUACCAAGCGCAUUCAGUCCUCUGACCAAUAAAAAAAAAAACAAAGCAAACAAAACCAUUCUGUCCGUCAUGCCAGGGGCACGUGCUUGUGAAACAGCUUUCAUUGCCUGACGCCGAUUAAAUGAUUUAAUGAACUGAAUUUAAAAGUACAAACAUUCCACACAAACGGCAUUUAAAAGGACCGUUUCCAGAAGGCUGCAAGGAACGAUAAAGAUAUUACAGUGGACUGUGAAAGGCAUUGUUUGUCAACGCAGGUGUUUCACUCAAUAAGCAGAAUAUGUACAGGAAUCACCUCAGUUGAACCAUAUACAGAUGUUAAAGCUAACAAAUUAUAGCUUAACCUACUUUCUCUCCAUUAUUUUUUUUUUUUAUACAAAGAAAA